RNAcentral lists this ribosomal RNA (600 nucleotides) under uncultured bacterium. RNAcentral describes it as "bacterial SSU rRNA". It matches the Rfam family "Bacterial small subunit ribosomal RNA", at positions 723 to 1323 of the family's 1533-position model. The record is from RNAcentral.
AGCUGUCCAGCACUGGACUGACGCUCAUGCACGAAAGCGUGGGUAUCGAACAGGAUUAGAUACCCUGGUAGUCCACGCGGUAAACGAUGAUAACUAGUUAUUCGGCCAGAUUGGUGGCUGAGUGACCGAGCGAAAGCGUUAAGUUAUCCACCUGGGGAGUACGCCGGCAACGGUGAAACUCAAAGGAAUUGACGGGGGCCCGCACAAGCGGAGGAACAUGUGGUUUAAUUCGAUGAUACGCGAGGAACCUUACCCGGGCUCAAACGCAUCGUGCUACGCCCUGAAAGGGGCGGUUCUUCGGACGCGAUGCGAGGUGCUGCAUGGUUGUCGUCAGCUCGUGCCGUGAGGUGUCGGCUUAAGUGCCAUAACGAGCGCAACCCCCAUCUUCAGUUGCCAUCGGUUGAAGCCGGGCACUCUGGAGAGACUGCCGGCGCAAGCUGUGAGGAAGGCGGGGAUGACGUCAAAUCAGCACGGCCCUUACGUCCGGGGCGACACACGUGUUGACGGGCGGUGUGUACAGAGGAAGCCAACGUAUUGACGCGGCGCAGAUCCCGAAAACCCGUCUCAGUUCGGAUCCGAGUCUGCAGUCCGACUCCGUGA